RNA transcript from Gorilla gorilla gorilla (western lowland gorilla), 6497 nucleotides. It is a transcript of the gene named FGGY carbohydrate kinase domain containing, with no coding region annotated. Lineage: Eukaryota; Metazoa; Chordata; Mammalia; Primates; Hominidae. The transcript is spliced from 16 exons. The record is from RefSeq and is a predicted model, not a curated record.
UGGUGCGCAGGCUCUUAGCGCGCACGCCCAGAAAGAGGCUUCUCCAACCCGGCCCGGCCCUUCCUUCCCCUUUCCCGCAGUCGUUGCCUCCUCCUCCCCUUCCUCCUCCUCUGGCCGCUUAGUCUCACACCCGCCGGGCCGUUGUUCCCGAGACGUUGUUGAGUCCCCUGUGUCCUCUUCUGGGUGGAGGAACUGCAAUGUCUGGUGGAGAACAGAAACCAGAGAGGUACUAUGUGGGUGUGGACGUUGGAACAGGCAGUGUCCGUGCAGCUCUGGUGGACCAGAGUGGGGUCCUGUUGGCUUUUGCAGACCAGCCAAUUAAGAAGUGGGAGCCCCAGUUCAACCACCAUGAGCAGUCCUCCGAGGACAUCUGGGCUGCGUGCUGUGUUGUCACAAAGAAAGUUGUACAAGGGAUUGAUUUAAACCAAAUUCGAGGACUUGGGUUUGAUGCCACGUGUUCUCUGGUUGUUUUGGAUAAGCAGUUUCACCCAUUACCAGUCAACCAGGAAGGGGAUUCCCAUCGAAACGUCAUCAUGUGGCUGGACCAUCGAGCAGUCAGUCAAGUUAACAGGAUCAAUGAGACCAAACACAGUGUCCUCCAGUACGUCGGGGGGGUGAUGUCUGUGGAAAUGCAGGCCCCGAAACUUCUGUGGCUGAAAGAGAACUUGAGAGAGACUUGCUGGGAUAAGGCGGGACAUUUCUUUGAUCUCCCAGACUUCUUAUCGUGGAAGGCAACAGGUGUCACAGCACGGUCUCUCUGCUCCCUGGUGUGUAAGUGGACAUAUUCAGCAGAGAAAGGCUGGGACGACAGUUUCUGGAAAAUGAUUGGUUUGGAAGACUUUGUUGCAGAUACUUACAGCAAAAUAGGAAACCAAGUGCUACCUCCUGGAGCUUCUCUUGGAAAUGGGCUCACACCAGAGGCAGCAAGAGACCUUGGCCUUCUCCCUGGGAUUGCGGUUGCAGCUUCACUCAUUGAUGCCCAUGCAGGAGGACUAGGAGUGAUUGGGGCAGAUGUGAGAGGGCACGGCCUCAUCUGUGAGGGGCAGCCAGUGACGUCACGGCUGGCUGUCAUCUGUGGAACGUCUUCUUGUCACAUGGGGAUCAGCAAAGACCCGAUUUUUGUACCAGGCAUCUGGGGGCCUUAUUUCUCAGCCAUGGUACCUGGGUUCUGGCUGAAUGAAGGUGGUCAGAGCGUUACUGGAAAAUUGAUAGACCACAUGGUACAAGGCCAUGCUGCUUUUCCAGAACUACAAGUAAAGGCCACAGCCAGAUGCCAGAGUAUAUAUGCAUAUUUGAACAGUCACCUGGAUCUGAUUAAGAAGGCUCAGCCUGUGGGUUUCCUUACUGUUGAUUUACAUGUUUGGCCAGAUUUCCAUGGCAACCGGUCUCCCUUAGCAGAUCUGACACUAAAGGGCAUGGUCACCGGAUUGAAACUGUCUCAGGACCUCGAUGAUCUUGCCAUUCUCUACCUGGCCACAGUUCAAGCCAUUGCUUUGGGGACUCGCUUCAUUAUAGAAGCCAUGGAGGCAGCAGGGCACUCAAUCAGUACUCUUUUCCUAUGUGGAGGCCUCAGCAAGAAUCCCCUUUUUGUGCAAAUGCAUGCGGACAUUACUGGCAUGCCUGUGGUCCUGUCGCAAGAGGUGGAGUCCGUUCUUGUGGGUGCUGCUAUUCUGGGUGCCUGUGCCUCAGGGGAUUUCGCUUCUGUACAGAGACCCUGGCUUGGUUUGCAAGGUACCUGCCUUUCCCUCCUUAAGAAAGUUGAGCAAUUCCUGCCAGCACCUCAACUAUUCCAGCAAGUCAGAUGUUUUAUCUUCUCAUGGACCACACAUCUGGUGGUUAGAUGGAGGAUUUCACUUCUUAUCUAGAUGGGCCAGUUUUGGUAGACUCAGCCGGAGUCACCUCCUUCAGAUGCUGGGAAGGCUGGGAAGAAUCCAGAGGACCCAGACAGUAGAGAGUGAUCCAAGAACAGGACCUGUUACUUUCCAUCCAUUGUCAAUCAUAGACCCCUUGAAGCAACCCAGUGGUUGGUAGCAGCAAUCUUUGUGCAGAUGAGGACUCUGAAGCUCAGAAAUGUUGUAUAACUUGAUUAAUACAAAGCCCACGCUCUUUGUAUUCCAUCAGACCAUAUCCUAUAGAUACAUAUACAUUGCUAGGGAAGUACACUAUGGCAACUGAGACACCUCUCACAAGGUGGUAUGGUUUAUAAAAAAUAGCAUUACGUAUUUGUCAUCAUUGCUUGGUUGAGUAUCCAACACAGAAAUAAAAAUAAGCAGGGUUCCCUCUUUGGUAUGGAAAUAUUCUAAUUCAUUUCCCCAGAGAAUGACCAUACUCACCAGUAUUAUUUUGCUCUACUUAUUUGCUUUUAAUCAUAAUAUAUGCCUGUUUACUUUUUGUAGCUAUAAAAAGGUAGAUAAAAGAAGCACUUUAGGUAGAUAUAAAAAGCACUUUAAUUAAGAACAUGAAUUAAAAGAUACUUCAAUAAUGAAGUACAAUAGAUUAAGGAAUACUUUAAUAGAUUAAAAUAACUUGAAUUAAAAGAUACGUAAAUGCUGUUGUUAUUAACACAAAGGUUUAGGCUAACAAAACGCAUUUUCCCAAAUAUCUCUCUCAACUCCCCCCACAAUUUUUAUUCAGGAAUGUAAGAAUUGGGCUUUUAUAAAAGCAACCAAGGGCUAAACAUCUACUAAGUUCUUAGAAACUUUGAAGGAUUACGGAACUCUCUUUCUAUAAUAAGGUUUACCUGUUUGACUUGAUUUUGUUCAAGAUGGCAUUUCAUACUGGUGUUAACCUAAACACAAAUGUGUAAGAUUUAUCUCAUAGAAAGACGUGCCUGUAAGUAAUUAAUUCCUCACUCUAAUUACUAUUUAUGCCUUUACUUUUUAUUGUAAGCAUUCUUGUUGGAAUAAACUAGAAAUAGGUUUUUUUUCUUUACACUAAAAUAACUCAUGAAUAGCAAUGAAAUCCAUGCUGUAUAAUAUUCAAAUGAGAGAUCAGGAAAGACAAGGCUUUUAGUUAAAUCAGUAAUAUUCUGUGAUGGGGAAAAUUGCCUUGAAAAAUACACACACACACACACACACACACACACACACAUACAUACUACUAGAAAAAGUUUGAGGUUUGAUUCAGAGUGUGGAAGGUACAGUGUCUUAAAAGAGUUUCAGUUGCAGCAUUUAGGCAGAUGAUCAAGAAUAUGCAGAAGAAAACAAAAGAAAUCAUAAUUAUAGUUUCCUAACAGAGGUAUUUGAUCCUCUGCAGUGAACCAUAAAAAACUAGCAUGGGAUCAGAAUCUUGAAUAGCAUGUAUUUAAUUGUAUGCAUUUCAAAGAAAUUUGAACAUUUUAAAAAGUUAUACCAUAUUAAAAAUUGUAUAUAAAGACAUUUUCUAUAAUAUAAUAAUUUUACAAAUGAGGAAACAGGGUUAGAGAGAGUAAGUGAGUUACCAAAGCCAAUGGCUAGAAAGUGAGAGAGGCAGAAUCCAAGUACUAGCCUGGGAUUCCCAAACCAAGGACUGUUCAGCUCAGCCACAAGUGGAAAUGGAUUCUUAUGGGGCUAAGUGAUUACCAUUAUUUUAAAAACUAGUAUCAGAAAUAGAUGACAAGAAUUUAAAUGUAUAUCAAAAUAUCCCUUUGGUAAAUGUUAGUGUCCUCACAGGUAAACAGAGGGCACCUUCAAAUUAGAGUAAUUUGAGAGGGUUUAAAAGAGGGACUGUUUACAAAAUUGCAGUCAUAGAGACAUAGAGAAAUCACAGGGAGAAUGUGACCCUAGGGUCUGUAACAGCUGGGCCUGUAGAGGUGAGGGAAAAGUGCAGCUACUGGAUGCCCAGAACAGAGGGCUGUGUGGAGACUGCACAGUGACCCUGAAAGAAAAGGGCUGCACUGUUAACCCUAUUCUCCCUCGCUCUAAUCUCCUGCCUGCCUCACCAUUGGCUGGAAUCAGAAUCAGAGAGCAAGGGAACCUGUUGAUGUAUUCUGUAGAAGGCCACAUCUCUAAGCUCAGAGGAGGGUGGGAAGGGAUCUUCAGAAGCACUUGGAGACAUUCAACUGAGUCACCCAGCCUGGACUAUUCAGAGCGGUCUGCAGACUAGAGGGCAGUCUCUAAAAGGUUUGUUCAGAUUUGCUAUGAAACAAGGAACUUGCAUCAGAAUGUAAAUCAAUUAUGUCACCAAGUGUACUGUUUAGUUCAGCUGUCAUUUUAUUCAUAGCAAGAUGUUCUCAAUGAAGGAAUCGGUGUGCUGGCUUACAUCCUGGGGCAAACUCCUUUUACCACAGAUGGGCCCUUUGAAUAGCACUAAACUAGAUUCCUUGCUCUGUAGGUAAUGAUAAAAACGCUGGAAUCCCUUUCCUUGUUUUGAUUUUCCUACCUUAACUUCUGCUAAAGAGAAGAAAACGAGUAUUUGUCUGUACCUAUCCUGAGCCUGGUACUGUGCUAAGGUACUUUAGAUGACAUUUAAUUCUUGCAAGUUAGAUUAUUCACUUCAUCUUUACAGACAAGAAACAGGGCCAGAAAGUUUAAGUAAUGUGCCUGUGGACUAGCAAGUGAGACAGCCAGCACUCAAAUUCAGAUCUUACUCCAAAGUCCAUGCCCCUCACUGUUUGUAGGCUAUCCCAGGACUGUGCUUAAAAUUAUCUGACAUUAACACCAAGAAAUAAAGCAGCGUUGUUGGGGGAUUGCCUUAUAUGGAGACCUAUGACUAUGUUCUGUAUACAUAUGCUAUUCAUGAUUCCUGGGAAUAGAUACAACCCAGCUCCCCCCAAAUCAGAUAGCACUGUUUGUGAAUACGAUGUUACUCCAUGUUACAAGGCCUUGUCCAGCCCAGCCAGCCAGGUCAGAGAUGAAUUCAGUUUGUUUCUAAGUGGCUGUUGUCUGUUGCCAUCUCUUUUUAAACCUGGGAGGUCAGGAAGAAGAUAGGGAGAAAGAAUUCAUGAGAGGGAUGCAUUUCCUUAGAAAUGUUAUUAAUUGGCUGGGCAAAACAAGAGAAGGAAAUAAAAUAGCUGCUCCUUACUAAGUAAAGGCAUCUUCUUCCCUUAUCUCAUUAAAAAUUAAAAGCACUCUUGGUUUAAGUAGGGCAAAUUAGUAAUUAAGUGCUGUAUAAUGAACUUGUAUAAACAGAAUAUUGAAGGGGAAGCCAAAUUAAUCACUCUGCUGGCUUGUUUUUGCCCCCAUUAAUGCACCUUUUACUCAGGUCCUUCCUGUGAUACCAGGAUGCAUUUUCUGCUCUCCUCCGCUGCUGGAGAUUGGGUGGGCUGUGAUAGUUGGGCUGACAGAUGACAGUGGACUAGAUCUGGAAAAGUCGUGUGUAGGGGCCUCGAUGGCCGUUUCAUUUUUUAAGCCAAGGCUCAUCAGCACAAGCCUACCUGUGACAGGAACAGCCUUAGACAGUAGCAGGGCAAGGAAGAAUUAGACACAAUGUCGGUACCCAAGGAAUUCCCAGUCUACUGGUGGCGGGAGGUUGGGCACAGAUGGAUACAGUUAUGAAAAAGUCUAAGGUGUAAUGGCAAAGACUAUUUCCUUGGACUCAAAUCUUGGCUCAGCCACUUACCUUGGGUGAGUUACUUAGUUUCUCUGUGUCUCAGAGGCCUCACCUAUGAAAGAUUCCAUUGCAAUUACUCUGCAAUGGAAUGAUGGAGCAUUUGAGGAGUGACUUCCACUGUCUUAAGAGGGCUGGGAAAGUCUUCCAGAGGAGGCAACCUUUGGCUGGUGACGGAGCUAGAACUCAGGGCACCGUGGGACCCCCAGGCCUAUGCUCCUCAUCUUUGCAGCGUAGUGCCUCCUCUGAAAGCGGAAGAAGGAGCUUGGGCCUCAACCCAGGACAAAUCUCUCUCCAUUUCAGCUCAACAUAGUAAAUAUUAGUAAUAACAUCUGGAUCCUCAGUCUCGUGAUAUGUUAGCAACUACCUGCCAAGUAUGUGGGGUGAGGAGUAGAAAGAGUAAGUGAGCUGAGUCCAUCACAGGCUGGGUAAGAGGAAAUCAAAUGGAGCAGCAGAAAGUAGCCCUCUAAGUCACCUUGCUGAACCUCACGGUGAUGGCAUCUCCUCAGCUUGCUAGCUGUGUGAACACACCUGGCUGGGCAAGCUACUUAAUUUCUCUGAUCUCAGUUCCAUAUUAACUGACCCCAUUGAGUUUCUGCAAAGAUUCCGUGAGUGAAAGCACAUUUAGCACAAUGCCUAUUCAGCAGAAGAGUAUUAUUAUCAGUCCGUGUGUUCAUUUGAUCUUCACCACAACCCUAUGAGGUAGGUGGCAUCAUUGUGCCACUCUAUUAAGCAAGAAAUUGAGGCACCAAGCUAUUGAAAAGCUCGCCUAAGGUCAUCUAGAUGGUUAGUGGCAGAACGAUGGUUUAAACUCAAGUGGUCUGGCUCCAGCCCUGCCCUCUGCGUAUCCCCCACAGCCCUGUGCUUUGGAGGGCACUUAUAGCUAGGUUUGCAUGUCACAUGCUAGAAAUAGGGUAGAUGCUUCUCAAGGAUGUCCGGACCUCUCUCUCACUACUGAAGAAGAAGUUAUU